UUUACGGAGAGUUUGAUCCUGGCUCAGAACGAACGCUGGCGGCGUGCUUAAUACAUGCAAGUCGUACGAGAAAGUCUGGCUUCGGCCGGGCAAGUAAAGUGGCGAACGGGUGAGUAACACGUGGGUAAUCUGCCUUUGAGUUUGGGAUAAGCCUCCGAAAGGGGGUCUAAUACCGAAUGAUAUCUUUGGAUGGCAUCUUUCAAAGAUCAAAGAAGGGGCAACCUUUCGCUCAUAGAUGAGCCCGCGCACCAUUAGCUUGUUGGUAGGGUAACGGCCUACCAAGGCUGCGAUGGUUAGCCGGCCUGAGAGGGUGAUCGGCCACACUGGGACUGAGAUACGGCCCAGACUCCUACGGGAGGCAGCAGUAGGGAAUAUUGCGCAAUGGACGAAAGUCUGACGCAGCAACGCCGCGUGGAUGAUGAAGCUCCUUGGAGUGUAAAAUCCUGUCAGUGGGGAAGAAACGGCUGAGGAGUAACUGCCUCAGCUCUGACGGUACCCGCAGAGGAAGUUCCGGCCAACUCCGUGCCAGCAGCCGCGGUAAUACGGGGGGAACGAGCGUUGUUCGGAUUCACUGGGCGUAAAGGGCGUGUAGGCGGAUUUUCAAGUCAAAUGUGAAAACCGGCGGCUCAACCUCCGGCCUGCAUUUGAAACUGUUAAUCUUGAGUACGGAAGAGGAGAGUGGAAUUCCAGGUGUAGCGGUGACAUGCGUAGAUAUCUGGAAGAACACCGGUGGCGAAGGCGGCUCUCUGGUCCGAUACUGACGCUGAGGCGCGAAAGCUAGGGGAGCAAACAGGAUUAGAUACCCUGGUAGUCCUAGCCGUAAACGAUGGGCACUAGGUGUUGGGGGUGUCGACUCCCUCAGUGCCGAAGCUAACGCAUUAAGUGCCCCGCCUGGGGAGUACGGUCGCAAGGCUGAAACUCAAAAGAAUUGACGGGGGCCCGCACAAGCGGUGGAGUAUGUGGUUCAAUUCGAGGCAACGCGAAGAACCUUACCUGGGUUUGACAUACACCGGACAACGUCUGAAAGGACGUCUCCCCUUCGGGGGUCGGUGAACAGGUGCUGCAUGGCUGUCGUCAGCUCGUGCCGUGAGGUGUUGGGUUAAGUCCCGCAACGAGCGCAACCCCUACCCUUAGUUGCCAUCAGGUAAUGCUGGGAACUCUAGGGGGACUGCCAGUGAUAAGCUGGAGGAAGGUGGGGAUGAUGUCAAGUCAUCAUGGCCCUUACGCCCAGGGCUACACACGUACUACAAUGGCCGGUACAGAGGGCUGCAAUGCCGCGAGGUGGAGCUAAUCCCUAAAACCGGUCUCAGUUCAGAUUGGAGUCUGCAACUCGACUCCAUGAAGUCGGAAUCGCUAGUAAUCGCAUAUCAGCACGAUGCGGUGAAUACGUUCCCGGGCCUUGUACACACCGCCCGUCAAGCCACGGAAGUUGGGAGCACCCGAAGUCGUUUGCCUAACCGCAAGGAAGGCGGCGCCUAAGGUGAAACUGAUGACUGGGGCUAAGUCGUAACAAGGUAGCCGUAGCGGAAGCUGCGGCUGGAUCACCUCCUUUCUA
Molecule: ribosomal RNA, 1555 nt
Filed under: candidate division Zixibacteria bacterium HGW-Zixibacteria-1
Lineage: Bacteria; Pseudomonadati; Candidatus Zixiibacteriota
Description: bacterial SSU rRNA
Rfam family: Bacterial small subunit ribosomal RNA
Source: RNAcentral